AUGGAAUGGCUGUGGAAUUUGCUAUUCCUCAUGGCAGCAGCCCAAAGUAUCCAAGCACAGAUCCAGUUGGUGCAGUCUGGACCUGAACUGAAGAAGCCUGGAGAGACAGUCAAGAUCUCCUGCAAGGCUUCUGGGUAUACCUUCACAACUGCUGGAAUGCAGUGGAUGCAACAGACACCAGGAAAGGGUUUUAAAUGGAUUGGCUGGAUAAACACCUACUCUGGAGAGCCAAAAUAUGCAGAAGACUUCAAGGGACGGUUUGCCUUCUCUUUGGAAACCUCUGCCAGCACUGCAUAUUUGCAGAUAAGCAACCUCAAAAAUGAGGACUCAGCUAUGUAUUUCUGUGCGAGACACAGUGUGAAAACCACAUCCUGA
Non-coding RNA from Mus caroli (Ryukyu mouse), 375 nucleotides. NCBI's taxonomy places the organism in Eukaryota, Metazoa, Chordata, Mammalia, Rodentia, Muridae. The record is from the annotation of a RefSeq genome assembly.